This 916-nucleotide ribosomal RNA is filed under the name uncultured archaeon. RNAcentral describes it as "16S ribosomal RNA". The record is from RNAcentral.
UUCCGGCGUUGAAUCCAAUUGAACCGCAGGCUUCACCCCUUGUGGUGCUCCCCCGCCAAUUCCUUUAAGUUUCAUACUUGCGUACGUACUUCCCAGGCGGCAAACUUAACGGCUUCCCUGCAGCACUGCAUUGGCCACAAGCCAAUGCAUCACUGAGUUUGCAUAGUUUACAGCUGGGACUACCCGGGUAUCUAAUCCGGUUUGCUCCCCCAGCUUUCAUCCCUCACCGUCGAACGUGUUCUGGUAGACCGCCUUCGCCACAGGUGGUCAUCAAUAGAUCAAAGGAUUUUACCCCUUCCUACCGAGUACCGUCUACCUCUCCCACUUCCUAGUUAUGCAGUAUUCCCGGCAGCCCAUACGUUAAGCGUAUGGAUUUAACCGAAAACUUACAAAACGAGCUACGGAUGCUUUAGGCCCAAUAAUCAUCCUGACCACUUGGGGUGCUGGUUUUACCGCGGCGGCUGACACCAGAACUUGCCCACCCCUUAUUCGUUAGUGUUUCUAGGACUGACAAAAGGUUUCUUUAGCAGAAACCACUCGGAUUAACCUUGUCGUGCUUUCGCACAUUGCAAAGUUUUCUCGCCUGCUGCGCCCCAUAGGGCCUGGGUCCGUGUCUCAGUACCCAUCUCCGGGCCACUCCUCUCAGAGCCCGUACCUGUAAUAGUCUUGGUGGGCCAUUACCUCACCAACAAACUGAUAGGCCGCAGUCCCAUCCUAUGGCGAUAAAUCAUUUGAGACAUAAACCAUUCCAAGUAUAAUGUUCUAUCGGGCAUUAUUCUCAGUUUCCCGAGAUUAUUCCCGUCCAUAGGGUAGAUUGACUACGCGUUACUGAGCCGUCUGNCCUUGUAUUGCUACAAUGACUCGCAUGGCUUAGUAUCAAUCCGAUAGCAGUCAGGUCCGGCAGGAUCAACCGGAA